This 671-nucleotide ribosomal RNA is filed under the name uncultured organism. RNAcentral's name for it is "bacterial SSU rRNA". It matches the Rfam family "Bacterial small subunit ribosomal RNA", at positions 454 to 1119 of the family's 1533-position model. The record is from RNAcentral.
CCGUACUUGUACGGUAUUGCAUGUAUGCCAUGAAUAAGCAUCGGCUAACUCCGUGCCAGCAGCCGCGGUAAUACGGAGGAUGCAGGCGUUAUCCGGAUUUAUUAGGUUUAAAGGGUGUUCAGGCUGCCUGGUAAGUCAGGGGUGAAAGUCGGUUGCUCAACGAUCGAAUUGCCUUUGAAACUUGUCAGGCUCGAGUAUGGAUGCGGUAGGCGGAAUUGUGUAGUGUAAGCGGUGAAAUGCCUAGAUAUUACACCAGAACACCGAUUGCGAAUGCAGCUUACCAAACCAGCACUGACGCUGAAGCACGAAAGCGUGGGGAGCGAACAGGAUUAGAUACCCUGGUAGUCCACGCCGUAGACUUUGCUCACUCGCUGUUGGCGAUAGACAGUCAGCGGCCCAGGGGAACCGAUAAUGUGAGCCACCUGGGGAAGUACGGCCCGCAAGGGUUGAACUUCAAGGGAAUUGACGGUUGCCCGCACAAGCGGUGGAACAUGUGGUUUAAUUCGAUGAUACGCGAGGAACAUUACCUGGGCUUAAAUGUGAAGUGCAUUGAUUGGAAACAAUCAUUUCCUUCGGGACCGUUUACAAGGUGCUGCAUGGUUGUCGUCAGCUCGUGCCGUGAGGUGUCGGGUUAAGUCCCAUAACGAGCGCAACCCCUAUUGUUAGUUACC